RNAcentral lists this ribosomal RNA (497 nucleotides) under uncultured bacterium. RNAcentral's name for it is "partial 16S ribosomal RNA". It matches the Rfam family "Bacterial small subunit ribosomal RNA", at positions 28 to 507 of the family's 1533-position model. The record is from RNAcentral.
GAUGAACGCUGGCGGCGUGCCUAAUACAUGCAAGUCGAGCGAACGGACGAGAAGCUUGCUUCUCUGAUGUUAGCGGCGGACGGGUGAGUAAAACGUGGAUAACCUACCUAUAAGACUGGGAUAACUUCGGGAAACCGGAGCUAAUACCGGAUGAUAUUUUGAACCGCAUGGUUCAAAAGUGAAAGACGGUCUUGCUGUCACUUAUAGAUGGAUCCGCGCUGCAUUAGCUAGUUGGUAAGGUAACGGCUUACCAAGGCAACGAUGCAUAGCCGACCUGAGAGGGUGAUCGGCCACACUGGAACUGAGACACGGUCCAGACUCCUACGGGAGGCAGCAGUAGGGAAUCUUCCGCAAUGGGCGAAAGCCUGACGGAGCAACGCCGCGUGAGUGAUGAAGGUCUUCGGAUCGUAAAACUCUGUUAUUAGGGAAGAACAUAUGUGUAAGUAACUGUGCACAUCUUGACGGUACCCAAUCAGAAAGCCACGGCUAACUACGUG